This is a small nuclear RNA of Nycticebus coucang (slow loris), 104 nucleotides long. The record is from RefSeq and is a predicted model, not a curated record. Lineage: Eukaryota; Metazoa; Chordata; Mammalia; Primates; Lorisidae.
UGCUCGCUUUGGUGUACACUACCACAAUUGGAACGAUACAGAAAAGAUUAGCAUGGCCCCUGUGCUAGGAUGACACGCAAAUUCAUGAAGCGUUCCAUAUUAGA